This 1068-nucleotide ribosomal RNA is filed under the name Coccomyces globosus. RNAcentral's name for it is "partial 28S ribosomal RNA". It matches the Rfam family "Eukaryotic large subunit ribosomal RNA", at positions 68 to 932 of the family's 3401-position model. The record is from RNAcentral. Lineage: Eukaryota; Fungi; Ascomycota; Leotiomycetes; Rhytismatales; Rhytismataceae.
ACAGGGAUUGCCUCAGUAACGGCGAGUGAAGCGGCAAUAGCUCAAAUUUGAAAGCUGGCUCACGCCCGCAUUGUAAUUUGUAGAGGAUGCUUCGGGUACGGUGCCGGUCUAAGUUCUUUGGAACAAGACGUCAUAGAGGGUGAGAAUCCCGUAUGUGACUGGUGGCCUGUGUCCAUGUGAAGCUCCUUCGACGAGUCGAGUUGUUUGGGAAUGCAGCUCUAAAUGGGUGGUGUACUUCAUCUAAAGCUAAAUAUUGGCUGGAGACCGAUAGCGCACAAGUAGAGUGAUCGAAAGAUGAAAAGCACUUUGGAAAGAGAGUUAAACAGUACGUGAAAUUGUUGAAAGGGAAGCGCUUGCAAUCAGACUUGCAUGGCGUCGAUCAACCUGGGUUUUCCCUGGUGCACUCGGCGUCGUUCAGGCCAGCAUCAAUUCCUGCGGUUGGACAAAGGCUUGGAGAAUGUGGGUUGCUUCGGCGACUGUUAUAGCUCCAGGUGCCAUGCAGCCAGCUGGGAUUGAGGACCGCGCUUCGGCUAGGAUGCUGGCGUAAUGGUUGUAAGCGACCCGUCUUGAAACACGGACCAAGGAGUCUAACAUUUAAGCGAGUGUUUGGGUGUUAAACCCAUACGCGUAAUGAAAGUGAACGGAGGUGAGAACUCUUAAGAGUGCAUCAUCGACCGAUCCUGAUGUCUUCGGAUGGAUUUGAGUAAGAGCUUAACUGUUGGGACCCGAAAGAUGGUAGCAGCAUAGUUUUGCCAUCGACAACAGCGCAUAUAGCACGCUGUUAGUCUGACUUCGGUCAGGCGACACGCCCAAUGUGCGGAGAAGGCCUGGAGAUUCUAAGCCAAUCCGCAGCCCACCGCCCUUACCCGGCGGUGAGCUCAGAGACUCAAUAGGCGUGGGUUUGGCAAUUCAGCCAGGCUUAAGAUAGAGCCCAGCUCAGCAGGCAACCGCUGAGACCAACUGGAACUAUGCCUGAAUAGGGUGAAGCCAGAGGAAACUCUGGUGGAGGCUCGCAGCGGUUCUGACGUGCAAAUCGAUCGUCAAAUUUGGGUAUAGGGGCGAAAGACU